RNAcentral lists this ribosomal RNA (743 nucleotides) under Aeromonas sobria. Its description in RNAcentral is "bacterial SSU rRNA". It matches the Rfam family "Bacterial small subunit ribosomal RNA", at positions 91 to 828 of the family's 1533-position model. Lineage: Bacteria; Pseudomonadati; Pseudomonadota; Gammaproteobacteria; Aeromonadales; Aeromonadaceae. The record is from RNAcentral.
GCGANCGGCGGACGGNUGAGUAAUGCCUGGGGAUCUGCCCAGAUCGANGGGGAUAACAGUUGGAAACGACUGCUAAUACCGCAUACGCCCUACGGGGGAAAGGAGGGGACCUUCGGGCCUUUCGCGAUUGGAUGAACCCAGGUGGNAUUANCUAGUUGGUGGGGUAAUGGCUCACCAAGGCGACGAUCCCUAGCUGGUCUGAGAGGAUGAUCANCCACACUGGAACUGANACACGGUCCAGACUCCUACGNGAGGCAGCAGUGGGGAAUAUUGCACAAUGGGGNAAACCCUGAUGCANCCAUGCCGCGUGUGUGAAGAAGGCCUUCGGGUUGUAAAGCACUUUCAGCGAGGAGGAAAGGUUGGCAGCUAAUAUCUGUCAGCUGUGACGUUACUCNCAGAAGAAGCACCGGCUAACUCCGUGCCAGCAGCCGCGGUAAUACGGAGGGUGCAAGCGUUAAUCGGAAUUACUGGGCGUAAAGCGCACGCANGCGGUUGGAUAAGUUAGAUGUGAAAGCCCCCGGGCUCAACCUGGGAAUUGCAUUUAAAACUGUUCAGCUAGAGUCUUGUAGAGGGGGGUAGAAUUCCAGGUGUAGCGGUGAAAUGCGUAGAGAUCUGGAGGAAUACCGGUGGCGAAGGCGGCCCCCUGGACAAAGACUGACGCUCAGGUGCGAAAGCGUGGGGAGCAAACAGGAUUANAUACCCUGGUAGUCCACGCCGUAAACGAUGUCGAUUUGGANGCUGUG